UGAAACUUGCGUUCGUCAGCGGUAGUUU
RNAcentral lists this non-coding RNA (28 nucleotides) under Bombyx mori (domestic silkworm). Lineage: Eukaryota; Metazoa; Arthropoda; Insecta; Lepidoptera; Bombycidae. The record is from RNAcentral.